UACGGAGGGUGCAAGCAUUAAUCGGAUUUAUUGGGCGUAAAGGGCGCGUAGGCGGGAAGAUAAGUCAGAUGUGAAAUCCCGGGGCUCAACCUCGGAACAGCAUUUGAAACUAUCAUUCUAGAGGAUAGGCGGAGAAAACGGAAUUCCACAAGUAGCGGUGAAAUGCGUAGAUAUGUGGAAGAACACCGGUGGCGAAGGCGGUUUUCUAGCUUAGACCUGACGCUGAGGCGCGAAAGCAAGGGGAUCAAACAGG
This 253-nucleotide ribosomal RNA is filed under the name uncultured bacterium. RNAcentral describes it as "partial 16S ribosomal RNA". It matches the Rfam family "Bacterial small subunit ribosomal RNA", at positions 524 to 776 of the family's 1533-position model. The record is from RNAcentral.